AUGGGUCCCCAGAUCCUCAAAAGGUUCUACAGCUGCACCAUCGAGAGCAUCCUGACCGUUUGCAUCACUGCCUGGUAUGGCAACUGCUCUGCAUUCGACCGUAAGGCGCUACAGAGGCUAGUGCGAACGGCCCAGUACAUCACUCUGUACCGGUGCACCCUGUAUAUAGCCUCCACCCUGACUCUGUACCGGUACCCCCUGUAUAUAGCCUCCACAUUGACUCUGUACCGGUACCCCCUGUAUAUAGCCUCCACCCUGACUCUGUACCAGUACCCCCUGUAUAUAGCCUCCACAUUGACUCGGUACCGGUGCCCCCUGUAUAUAGCCUCCACAUUGACUCGGUACCGGUGCCCCCUGUAUAUAGCCUCCACCCUGACUCUGUACCGGUGCCCCCUGUAUAUAGCCUCCACAUUGACUCUGUACCGGUACCCCCUGUAUAUAGCCUCCACCCUGACUCUGUACCGGUACCCCCUGUAUAUAGCCUCCACCCUGACUCUGUACCGGUACCCCCUGUAUAUAGCCUCCACCCUGACUCUGUACCGGUACCCCCUGUAUAUAGCCUCCACCCUGACUCUGUACCAGUACCCCCUGUAUAUAGCCUCCACAUUGACUCUGUACCGGUACCCCCUGUAUAUAGCCUCCACCCUGACUCUGUACCGGUACCCCCUGUAUAUAGCCUCCACCCUGACUCUGUACCGGUGCCCCCUGUAUAUAGCCUCCACCCUGACUCUGUACCGGUGCCCCCUGUAUAUAGCCUCCACCCUGACUCUGUACCGGUACCCCCUGUAUAUAGCCUCCACCCUGACUCUGUACCGGUACCCCCUGUAUAUAGCCUCCACCCUGACUCUGUACCGGUACCCCCUGUAUAUAGCCUCCACCCUGACUCUGUACCGGUACCCCCUGUAUAUAGCCUCCACCCUGACUCUGUACCGUAAUACCCUGUAUAUAGCCUCCACCCUGACUCUGUACCGGUACCCCCUGUAUAUAGCCUCCACCCUGACUCUAUACCGUAAUACCCUGUAUAUAGCCUCCACCCUGACUCUGUACCGGUACCCCUGUAUAUAG
This 1065-nucleotide long non-coding RNA is filed under the name Oncorhynchus kisutch (coho salmon). Its description in RNAcentral is "lncRNA (ENSOKIG00005020106.1)". Lineage: Eukaryota; Metazoa; Chordata; Actinopteri; Salmoniformes; Salmonidae. The record is from RNAcentral.